RNAcentral lists this ribosomal RNA (704 nucleotides) under uncultured bacterium. Its description in RNAcentral is "bacterial SSU rRNA". It matches the Rfam family "Bacterial small subunit ribosomal RNA", at positions 8 to 725 of the family's 1533-position model. The record is from RNAcentral.
AGAGUUUGAUCAUGGCUCAGGACGAACGCUGGCGGCGUGCUUAACACAUGCAAGUCGAACGGUGAUGAGGAGCUUGCUUCUCUGAUCAGUGGCGAACGGGUGAGUAACACGUGAGUAACCUGCCCCAAACUCUGGGAUAAGCACUGGAAACGGUGUCUAAUACCGGAUACGAGCUUCAGCCGCAUGGCUAGGAGUUGGAAAGAAUUUCGGUUUGGGAUGGACUCGCGGCCUAUCAGCUAGUUGGUGAGGUAAUGGCUCACCAAGGCGACGACGGGUAGCCGGCCUGAGAGGGUGACCGGCCACACUGGGACUGAGACACGGCCCAGACUCCUACGGGAGGCAGCAGUGGGGAAUAUUGCACAAUGGGCGCAAGCCUGAUGCAGCAACGCCGCGUGAGGGACGACGGCCUUCGGGUUGUAAACCUCUUUUAGUAGGGAAGAAGCGAAAGUGACGGUACCUGCAGAAAAAGCACCGGCUAACUACGUGCCAGCAGCCGCGGUAAUACGUAGGGUGCAAGCGUUGUCCGGAAUUAUUGGGCGUAAAGAGCUCGUAGGCGGUUUGUCGCGUCUGCUGUGAAAACCCGAGGCUCAACCUCGGGUCUGCAGUGGGUACGGGCAGACUAGAGUGCGGUAGGGGAGAUUGGAAUUCCUGGUGUAGCGGUGGAAUGCGCAGAUAUCAGGAGGAACACCGAUGGCGAAGGCAGA